RNAcentral lists this ribosomal RNA (418 nucleotides) under uncultured bacterium. Its description in RNAcentral is "bacterial SSU rRNA". It matches the Rfam family "Bacterial small subunit ribosomal RNA", at positions 28 to 440 of the family's 1533-position model. The record is from RNAcentral.
GACGAACGCUGGCGGCGUGCCUAACACAUGCAAGUCGAACGAGGUCCAAGGAAGCUUGCUUCCUGAAGACCUAGUGGCGAACGGGUGAGUAACACGUGAGAAACCUGCCUCGGAGUGGGGAAUAACUCGGGGAAACUCGAGCUAAUACCGCAUACCUUCACAUGAUCGCAUGGUCGAGUGAAGAAAGAAUUUCGCUCUGAGAGGGUCUCGCGGCCUAUCAGCUUGUUGGUGGGGUAACGGCCUACCAAGGCAACGACGGGUAGCUGGUUUGAGAGAACGAUCAGCCACACUGGGACUGAGACACGGCCCAGACUCCUACGGGAGGCAGCAGUGGGGAAUCUUGCGCAAUGGGCGAAAGCCUGACGCAGCAACGCCGCGUGCGGGAUGACGGCCUUCGUGGUUGUAAACCGCUUUCAGC